RNAcentral lists this ribosomal RNA (253 nucleotides) under uncultured bacterium. RNAcentral's name for it is "partial 16S ribosomal RNA". It matches the Rfam family "Bacterial small subunit ribosomal RNA", at positions 524 to 776 of the family's 1533-position model. The record is from RNAcentral.
UACGAAGGGGGCUAGCGUUGCUCGGAAUCACUGGGCGUAAAGCGCACGUAGGCGGCUUUCUAAGUCAGGGGUGAAAUCCUGGAGCUCAACUCCAGAACUGCCUUUGAUACUGGAGAGCUUGAGUCCGGAAGAGGUGAGUGGAACUCCGAGUGUAGAGGUGAAAUUCGUAGAUAUUCGGAAGAACACCGAUGGCGAAGGCAGCCCCCUGGGCUGACACUGACGCUCAGGCACGAAAGCGUGGGGAGCAAACAGG